RNAcentral lists this ribosomal RNA (46 nucleotides) under Lactarius quietus. Its description in RNAcentral is "partial 28S ribosomal RNA". Lineage: Eukaryota; Fungi; Basidiomycota; Agaricomycetes; Russulales; Russulaceae. RNAcentral also lists the same sequence under 9 other names. The record is from RNAcentral.
CUUGACCUCAAAUCGGGUGAGACUACCCGCUGAACUUAAGCAUAUC